Molecule: long non-coding RNA, 7418 nt
Organism: Chiroxiphia lanceolata (lance-tailed manakin)
Lineage: Eukaryota; Metazoa; Chordata; Aves; Passeriformes; Pipridae
Exons: 11
Source: RefSeq, a predicted model, not a curated record
GGAUGGGACCGCGUCCUGCCCCACGCGUCACCUGCGGGCAAAGCCACCGCUAUCCCGGCGUGAAGGAACUUGCUCACCCGUCCGAACACUCGUCCAGCUUUGCUGCGGAUCAGUUCCAGACUGUCAGGAUUCUUCUUCUGAGGCAUCAGGCUGCUGCCAGUGCUGAAAGGAAGGUGUGUGGAGUGCAAUGGCGCUCAGAAUCACGGGUCAGAGCAACAGCAUGGCUGGGGAAGGACAGGAGAGAUGAAACACCUGAAGCUGGAAAAUGCCACAACCCAGCAGUGUGCAACUUUCCAGCUACGUCUCCAAUCAGCUCCUGAGGACAAGAGGAGGAUUUCUGUCAGUGUCUCUGUAUUCUAAGCAAGAGACUCCACAUGAGCACAUCUCCCUGCCUGGAAGGGACUCAGCUCGAGGAUCCUGCAGAUCCAGCUACAGAGGAACAGGAACAAGAGGACAGAGAACCCAAACCUUUAGCCUGCGUUCGUUGGCAGUGUGGAUAUCCUCAUCAGUUGGUUUCAGCACAAAGACUCCUUUGGACCAUUCCUCAGAGAUCUACAAACAUCAGCAGAUGAUGUUUAUUAUCAUACCAUAUUUAUACCAUGAUGAUUAUUAAAUACAGGGAGGCUACUGUCAGGUAAGGAGCCAUUCAUUCCAGCACACGUGACAGUUUGUGAAGGAAGGACAUACCUUUUCCAGGCCACCCAGGAUCUUCUCCAGCUCAGUUUUUGAUAGGAUUCCAGCCUUCUCCAAGGCUUUGGCAUAAGCCAUGCUCCCCUGAAUAUCAACUUCAGACAGUCUCUGAUCAUAGGAAAUGGAAGCAUUGAGCAUCUCCAUGACUGGAUCUGUGCUUCCACUGAAUCUUCCUCCCCAAAGUUUAUCCCCCUGAGAGAGAAACAAACAAGUUAAAGAGGCCUGAUAACUUCAUUUCAGCUUCUGUGUACUAUGUAAUAUCUAAUGAUCUGUUUAUCCAACACAGUGGCCAUGCCACUGUCCUUUCUGACCAGAAACACCCCUGGACUUCAGGAUCUUUGGAAGUAGUUGAAGAGAAGGAGAACACAUCACUGUCAGUAUUAUUUACCCCUGAGAUGUGAUGUUUAGCUCAGGAACCAUCCAAGAUACUUUACCUCUGCAGGACUCUGCAGGGAGUCCUUGAAAUUAAUAUCAGGGCACCUGGUGCCAGACCAGCAUGGAUUUCUCUUUUGAGGCAGCUGCAGGUCAACAACCCUUUGACAGCCUUUUAAAGGGGGUAAAAAGUAAAGCAGUAAGGAUUAGAGUGAAAGUAUCCUCUAAAUCCUUUUUGUGCUGUUUAACUAACAGAUUGUUCUUUGAUUGACAAAGAGCUGUGGGCCAGCACAAGCCACAUUAUGAAGUGUUUGAAGUUACCAUUUGAAGCAUCUCCAGACUUCAUGAUGUGCUUGCAGGCUUUGGUGUAAAAUCAGCAUGAUAAGAUGCACAUGGCAGAAAGGGAAUUCCGGGUUCAGGAAUGUUCAGAAAAAUAAAUCAACAAAAAGGUGCUGAAACACAUGGGGAAAAAAAGGGUCUUUUUGCCACCCAAAGCAGGAUUCACACAGUGACCUCACACACUCGAAUGUGUCCCCUGCACAGCUCCUUCACUGGGUGACCAAAGGCAGGUACACAAUCCCAGCAGGGUGUGUGGGACCCUCUGCCUCCAGUGAUUCAGCACCUGGAUGGACUCACUGGCUCAGCCCACGUGUGUCACUUGUUGAGCAGCUUUUUGCUUGCCCAGUGACUGUCUCCAUGUCUGUGCUGAUCCCUGCUGGAACAAGGGGCCUGAGAGGACAGCAGGAGAGAGCCUACAGAGACUUCCAGAUGCACAGAGCAUCAUGAUAUCUACCCUGAGAACACCUCUUUGAACCAUUUUGUUGCCAGGUUCUUCCUCUUCUGCAGUCCCUCACUUUUAGUGCUUCUUUCGUCAUGUUCAUCUUUUAUGGGUGUCUGUGCUCCAGGAUGUGACAGGAGGUUGCUGAGGGUUUGAAAAAACAUUUGGCAGGGCCCUGUGUCACUCAGCACUGGCCAUGAGGAAGAAUACCAGACAUUUGCUGCUGGGAGCAAGAGGAAAUCUGUUCAGCUGAGGCCUCUGAAGGCUCACCCGUCCGAACACUCGUCCAGCUUUGCUGCGGAUCAGUUCCAGACUGUCAGGAUUCUUCUUCUGAGGCAUCAGGCUGCUGCCAGAGCUGCAAGGAAGGUGUGUGGAGUGCAAUGGCGCUCAGAGUCACGGGUCAGAGCAACAGCAUGGCUGGGGAAGGACAAGGGAAAUAGAGCACAUGAAAUCAGAGAAUGGCUCUUUCCUUUCCAAUCUUUACUCUGUCAUGCCUGGAGCCUGGGAUCCCCUCUCGAACAAGAGGGUGGAAUGAGGCCAAGGCACUAAGGCCUUAGCUGAACAGGCAGCAGGACACAAGAUUCUCUGUGUUACCUCAUCAGCCAGGGUGUAACUGUGGCCAAAGGAUGGAGAGCAGGGAGUUGGUCACCACUGCCCAACCCCUGCUGGGUUCCCAGUUGGUCAGAGCCACACAGGAACAUGGGGAGGUCCUGUCCCAGUCUGCAGGUUUCCCUCUGGUUUGUCCCCACCCCCUCAGAGGGGGAUGCACUCCUGGGCUCCAGCAGAGCAGGGCCCCAAGGCUGGAGAAGGCUCCUCCAGCCAGGGCUGAAAGGUGCUGACCUGAGCAAGAACUGGCUCCAUCGGAUGGGCUGAGCUUUCUGCAGGUGGGUGUAGCCAGGCAGGAUGACAUCGAUUUCUCUGUGUGGCAGAGGAGAGAAGGAGGUGAGAGCAGCUGCCAGGGUGGAGGGCAGGGGCAGGGCUGUAACUCCCCCCUGCUGCUGCCCCACUGGUGUCAGUCAAAGACGAGCCUACAGGUCUCCUGGCCCAGCAAGGCCCUGGAUUUGGCAAAGGACUUACAUGGCAGCGCGUUCCACCAGGGUCUUAAUGAGCUGCAGGAGGUGUGUGGAGAUGAUGGAGAGGGAAUUCUUCAUGAACAGCUUCAAGUCAGUCACAACCUGUGUGAGAUUGGCCACAGUCAGACAAACAGAAUGUGACACGUGGUGACUGCCCACUUUUACUGCAAAGUAAACCCCUCCUUGUCUUGAGUGAUGGGACAGUGCAUCUUCUUCUCAUCAUUUGGUCAUAUUUAUGUGGUGAUAUCACUAUUUCUUGCUCUCCAGGAAGAGUUCCAAAGGCUGUGCUGAUUUGAAGUCUCCUGAAAUGAGGAUUGGGCGGGGAGGGAAUACCAAAGGAGAAAAAAAUGAUUCUGUACAUACCUGAUCAUUCCUGCUUCUUCCAGUGUGCAACUUUCCAGCUACAUCUCCAAUCAGCUCCUGAGGACAAGAGGAGGAUUUCUAUCAGUAUCUCUGUAUUUUAAGCAAGAGGCUCCAUGAGCAGAUCUUCUCCCUGCCUGUGAGUAGCCAUGGGAUGUGUUCUGGGGAAGGGCAGGUUUGAGUCCUGUGUUUGUACAGUGACACUUCCAUGGAAGGGGGCUUGGAGACACUGGCCUGUGCACUUGGGGUCCAGAGGAGUUUCACAGAGGGACAGAGGCACAUGCCCUUAACAUCAGGCAGAUCCAGCUACAGAGGAACAGGAACAAGAGGACAGAAAACCCAAACCUUUAGCCUGCGUUCGUUGGCAGUGUGGAUAUCCUCAUCAGUUUGGAUCACACCAAAGACUCCUUUGGACCAUUCCUCAGAGAUCUACAAACACCAGCAGAAACACCAGUCAGCUACAACAGUUACCCUGCUGUGUGGAGGGCUGUAAGGGUUCCCAGAAAAUUCCUGCCAUCCCCAUGAAAAUUUAACCCCAAAGAGUUAAGUCUCAUGUGAGCUCUGGUAUUCAGGUCAAGCCUGGCUGCUUGCUGUAUCCUGAUAUCCUGUACUGCUGGGAUUCAUCCCUCUACCCAUGGCAAUCCUGCAGUGUUAUGGCUGUAGGAUUUAAGCAUUGCAAGGAGGAAGUGAGCCAAAACAUCACUGAUUGCUUUAGCAUUGUCCACAAAGGUUUUCCUAUAAAACAUUGUACAGCCUCGCCGUUGUCCGUGGUGGGUGAGGAACAACAAUGGAUAUUUUAAAAAAAGCGCUUUGCUGCGACUCCUCUUCCCCCCUACACAUGCUAUGCAUUGCCUCCUACCAGAGGGCAGCCAGGCUCAAAAGGAUCCCAUGUGCCAACAGGAAAAGAAUGUUCUUACUUCAUACUGAAAUGAUUCCUAGUGAAUGUUCAGUCUGAAGAGGAUGGGACACGAGCACAUUUAAGGACGCUCUUUAGAAGAGCAGCUCAGAUGCUCUCAGGUAAGGAGCCAUUCAUUCCAGCACACAUCACAGUUUGUGAAGGAAAGACAUACCUUUUCCAGGCCACUCAGGAUCUUCUCCAGCUCAGUUUUAGACAGGAUUCCAGCCUUCUCCAAGGCUUUAGCAUAAGCCAUGCUCCCCUGAAUAUCAACUUCAGACAGUCUCUGAUCAACAGUAAUGGAAGCGCUGAGCAUCUCCAUGAUUGGAUCUGUGCUUCCAACAAACCUUCCUGCCAUCAUUUUAUCCCCCUGCAAGUAAUGAAGUUGAAGUUGAGAGGCAUGUUCAAAAGACUUAUGGAUAUAUCUGCUAAAAAUCAGUCAGUGUCUAUUCCACUCCUUAUCAAACUAAAACUGAGGACAAUCUCAGGAAUGGAAUUUUUUCAGUCUAUACCAUUGACCAGAAACCCCCUGGACUUUAAUGCCUUUGGCAAGCAGCUGUAGAGGUGGAGAACAUGUCGCUGUCACCAGAAUUUAGCCCUUGAGGUUACAGGUCUGGCUCGGGAAUCCUCCAAGACAUUUUACACCUUCAGGACUCUGCAGGGAGUAUGUCCUGUCUGUGAAAAUAAGUAUCAGGCAAUGGGAUGCAAGACCAGCGUGGGACUCUCUUUUAAGGCAGCUGCUGAUCACUGACCCUUUGAGAGUCUCCUGACAGGGAAAAAAAGUCAGGGAGAUACACUGAAAGGUGGUAUCUACUACUAUUUGAAAUACUAAAAAAAAUCCCACUCUUUUAGGGAGACUGUAAGAAAACAUUGAGCUGACAAAGAGCUGUGGGCCAGCACAAGCCACAUCCUGUCAAACACUCCUGUAACUAUCAAGUGUGUGAAGUUACCGUUUGAAGCAUCUCCAGAGUCCACGACGUUCUUGCAAGUUUUGGCACAAAAUUGAGAUAAAACUGGCAAAGGUGCAGAUUGCAGAAAGAGAGAUCUGGGUGCCGUUCAGUGUUACAAAUGUUAGCGCAAAGUGAAAAAAGGAAGAGAAAAAAGCCCAAAGUACCCCCGGAAGGGCUCGGAAGAUGCGCGGCGCCGGGCGGGCGGCCGAGCUACCAUGGACAGCGGGCGGCGGGACCGGGCAGGGGACCGGAGCAGCCCUUUCCCCAAAUUACCAGGGAAGAGCAGGAGGGAGCCUGCGGAGCCAGGGUGCAGGCUCGGGGUGCUGGAGCUCUGGGUGUGGAGCAGAAUCAUUAAGGUUGUGAAAGGUCUCCAAGAUCACCGAGUCGAACCGUUAACCUAAUACUGCCGGGUUCACCACUAACCCAUGUCCCUGAGGAUCACAACUACACGUUUUUUGACCCCUCCCAGGGAUGCUGAUUCCACCACACCCCCGGGGAGCCUUUUCCAAACGAAAUAGGGAAAGACUCGAAGCUCACGAACGCCAGAGCACCCGGAGACCUCCCCGCCGGGAAAGCAAAGGUCCCCCUCACCUCGGCUGCCAUUUCGGACGACGUUUUGCUCGUUUGUGCGGCGAUCCUGGCAACUGGUGCAACCUGCGGGACAGCGCGGGUGAUGCUCAGCCCUGCCCCGGGCCGAGCCCCGCCGCGGUCCCGCUGCCCUCCCGGCCCCUCCGGGCCCCGCUCACCUGCUCGUCCCGCAGCCCCGGCCACUCGCUCGCUGCUCCCCGGCCCCGCCGCCCCGCUUUUACACGCCUCGGUGCGGGGCAGGCGGCUCGUCCCGCCCCGCCGGGGCGGGGUGUCCCCGGGGCCGGCCCCGCUCCGGUCCCCCCCGCAGCCCCCUGCUCCCUUCACACCCCUCCGCUGCCUCCGGCCCCGGCUCGCCCAGCGCGUGGUCGAGGAGAGAAGUUUCUUUUGGGGAGAGGUUUGCUGCGGGGAGGAGGGUUGAGAGGGAUGCUCCCGUGUUGCUUCUUAGGGAAGUUCCCGACGGUGCUCCCGCACUGCCUGAGGGUCUCGUGUGUGGACAGGGCAGCUCCUUCCCUGGGAAUAUCCUUGUACUGAAGGAGCCACAUCGCUCGGUGUUACACUCCUUAACGAGCAGUCUUUGAUAUGAAUGUAAUUGAUAAAGUGCUCUGUCCCCGUUGCCACCCCGGCCAACACACCGGAAUAAAACAGAUGGGAGCCGGUUCCCCUUUCCCAUUUCUGCGUGGAUGAGACUUUUCUCCCCACUCGUAGGGACGCUGCAGCCCCAGCUUUGGGGCUUCCCUGCUGCCACCAGUUCCAUGGGGUCACUUGUCAAGAGGCUCCUGUGAGCUGUGGCUGUGGGGUGCGAGGUUGUGCUUUUGGUAAUAGCCCGUGUCUUAAACUCAUGACACUCUAAACAUCGUGGAAGUAAACAACUGAUUGAAAAUACAAGAGAGCUUUGGGAGCAGCAAAGCUUCAGCUCAGCACCACUUUCUCAUUAACUCCUCAGACAGAGAAUUUUCUGCAGCCACUUCCCAGAAAGCUGAAUAUUUGCUGCUAUGUCUUACUGAGUGAGCCUCUGCAGUGUAAUAUUUUCCCAUCUGCAUUGUCCAAACCCUUCACAGCGCUCAGGAAACAUGUCCCAGCUUUCUCAUCCACAUUUUGUUGGGUUAUUUUUUUUCCCCUGUAACUGAUCCUCUUUCUCUUUUUACUGUUCUCAUCAGUUCUACAACAUUAUCUCCUUUCCCUUUUUCUUCUAGGACACUCACACCAGGAAGCAGUGCUUGAUCCUUUUGCAGUCAUGUUCUUUCCUGCUGUGAAAUCCCUCAUUUUUACUGCUUUCUUGUCUUCUUCACCCUUUAGAAACGUCCUUUCCUUACUCUGGGCUUUGACAGGAGAUUGCUGAUGUGUUGGGGAACAAGUAAUCAGUGAGUUUAUAACCAGAGUGAAUCUAUGUCAGUAAGAUCUUAUUAAUCUGUGUCUGAUAUUACAUGUGGCAGGGACAUGUGCUUCCACAUGGGAUCUGUCAGCAGUGUCCCUGUGUGUUUAGCAAACUUCACAGGGAUUAGUUGGCUUGUAGUACGCUGCUCAACUCUUGUCCCAGUUCGUAUCUAGGAAAUUAUUAAUUCUCUUUCCUAUUUUUAGAUUAAAUAGACAAUAACUAUCUUUUCUGUAUAAUAGUGUAGAAUAUAGACUAAUAUUUUUAUAAUAAAAAUGGAAGUGAAACUGUAAAUACAAAAAUGAACAUUGAAGAAAUAUGAUUUCUUACAGAUGCUGGA